Molecule: ribosomal RNA, 433 nt
Filed under: uncultured bacterium
Lineage: Bacteria
Description: partial 16S ribosomal RNA
Rfam family: Bacterial small subunit ribosomal RNA
Source: RNAcentral
AGCGAUCGCUGGCGGCAGGCCUAACACAUGCAAGUCGAACGGAUCCUUCGGGAUUAGUGGCGGACGGGUGAGUAACACGUGGGAACGUGCCCUUUGGUUCGGAACAACUCAGGGAAACUUGAGCUAAUACCGGAUGUGCCCUUCGGGGGAAAGAUUUAUCGCCAUUGGAGCGGCCCGCGUCUGAUUAGCUAGUUGGUGAGGUAACGGCCCACCAAGGCGACGAUCAGUAGCUGGUCUGAGAGGAUGAUCAGCCACACUGGGACUGAGACACGGCCCAGACUCCUACGGGAGGCAGCAGUGGGGAAUCUUGCGCAAUGGGCGAAAGCCUGACGCAGCCAUGCCGCGUGAAUGAUGAAGGUCUUAGGAUUGUAAAAUUCUUUCAGCGGGGACGAUAAUGACGGUACCCGCAGAAGAAGCUCCGGCUAACUUCGUG